UCCAGGGUAGCCUAGUGGACAUGGCAUCUGCCCGGUAAGCAGAACUUUGUGGGUUCGAUUCCCGCCCCUGGAC
Molecule: transfer RNA, 73 nt
Filed under: Cordylochernes scorpioides
Lineage: Eukaryota; Metazoa; Arthropoda; Arachnida; Pseudoscorpiones; Chernetidae
Description: tRNA-Thr
Rfam family: tRNA
About the family: Transfer RNA (tRNA) molecules are approximately 80 nucleotides in length.
Source: RNAcentral